This 454-nucleotide ribosomal RNA is filed under the name uncultured bacterium. Its description in RNAcentral is "partial 16S ribosomal RNA". It matches the Rfam family "Bacterial small subunit ribosomal RNA", at positions 28 to 507 of the family's 1533-position model. The record is from RNAcentral.
GAUGAACGCUGACAGAAUGCUUAACACAUGCAAGUCAACUUGAACUUCGGUUUGGGUGGCGGACGGGUGAGUAACGCGUAAAGAACUUGCCUCACAGAUAGGGACAACAUUUGGAAACGAAUGCUAAUACCUGAUAUUAUGAUUAUAUGGCAUCGUAUAAUUAUGAAAGCUAUAUGCGCUGUGAGAGAGCUUUGCGUCCCAUUAGUUAGUUGGAGAGGUAACGGCUCACCAAGGCGAUGAUGGGUAGCCGGCCUGAGAGGGUGAUCGGCCACAAGGGGACUGAGACACGGCCCUUACUCCUACGGGAGGCAGCAGUGGGGAAUAUUGGACAAUGGACCAAGAGUCUGAUCCAGCAAUUCUGUGUGCACGAUGAAGUUUUUCGGAAUGUAAAGUGCUUUCAGUUGGGAAGAAAAAAAUGACGGUACCAACAGAAGAAGUGACGGCUAAAUACGUG